UAUAGGAUGCCUGAACUAAGGGUUAUUUUGAUAGAAUAAUUAUGCAUUAUUGCUUCUAUAG
This 61-nucleotide transfer RNA is filed under the name Caligus rogercresseyi. Its description in RNAcentral is "tRNA-Ile". Lineage: Eukaryota; Metazoa; Arthropoda; Copepoda; Siphonostomatoida; Caligidae. The record is from RNAcentral.